RNAcentral lists this ribosomal RNA (425 nucleotides) under uncultured bacterium. Its description in RNAcentral is "partial 16S ribosomal RNA". It matches the Rfam family "Bacterial small subunit ribosomal RNA", at positions 354 to 796 of the family's 1533-position model. The record is from RNAcentral.
GUGGGGAAUAUUGGACAAUGGGCGAAAGCCUGAUCCAGCCAUGCCGCGUGAGUGAUGAAGGCCUUAGGAUUGUAAAAUUCUUUCACCGGGGACGAUAAUGACGGUACCCGGAGAAGAAGCCCCGGCUAACUUCGUGCCAGCAGCCGCGGUAAUACGAAGGGGGCUAGCGUUGUUCGGAAUUACUGGGCGUAAAGCGCACGUAGGCGGACAUUUAAGUCAGGGGUGAAAUCCAGGAGCUCAACUCCGGAACUGUCUUUGAUACUGGGUGUCUGGAGUAUGGAAGAGGUGAGUGGAAUUCCGAGUGUAGAGGUGAAAUUCGUAGAUAUUCGGAGGAACACCAGUGGCGAAGGCGGCUCACUGGUCCAUUACUGACGCUGAGGUGCGAAAGCGUGGGGAGCAAACAGGAUUAGAAACCCCUGUAGUCC